This 569-nucleotide long non-coding RNA is filed under the name Phoenix dactylifera (date palm). Its description in RNAcentral is "long non-coding RNA (PDAC_LNC020528)". Lineage: Eukaryota; Viridiplantae; Streptophyta; Magnoliopsida; Arecales; Arecaceae. The record is from RNAcentral.
GGACGUGGGUCCCAUCUAAGCAGGACGUGGGUCCCACAAAGGGAAGGGAGUCUUAGUCAUACUAGGAUCAUAAUUGAUUUCAAUCCAAUUUGACUCAAGCCAAAUCUGAUUUGGUUGGGGCAAAUUAGACAUUUUCACUAAACCAAUUUUGGUGUCUAUUACGGUUUUACCAAUUUCAAAUCAUAUUUGAAUUUGGUCAAGCCCAAUCUUUAUUACUCAAUCAAAUUGAGUCUAAAUAGUGAUCCAAUCACCAAUUAACUUCUCCAAGCAACAAUUGCUUAGGGCAAUCAGUCAAUCACAUUGACUAUUUUACCUCUAGAAGAUUUUCAAUCGUCAAUCAGCUAUUUGAUCAAUCCAGAAACUUCUAAGCGUGUGACCUCACAGGUUCGAACCUAAGCCGGUAGUACAAGAACACUUCCUGCACUAAUCGAAGUAACCAUCUAGCAAUGGGAUCCGACGACCGGAUAGGCCGAAUAGAUGCAAAGCAACAUUCUAGAACCUUUUGGACAAUGGUUACCAUAUAAUUCAUCCUCUUGACCACAAAUGCCCAAGACGGGUUAAGAGUCUGU